RNAcentral lists this ribosomal RNA (623 nucleotides) under Ceriporia inflata. Its description in RNAcentral is "eukaryotic LSU rRNA". The stretch from base 219 to 372 matches the Rfam family "5.8S ribosomal RNA". The record is from RNAcentral. Lineage: Eukaryota; Fungi; Basidiomycota; Agaricomycetes; Polyporales; Irpicaceae.
CCAGCAGCGACUGAGGACGACAUUAACGAGUAACUGAACAGGUUGUAGCUGGCCUCUCGGGGCAUGUGCACACCUGGCUCAUCCACUCUUCAACCUCUGUGCACUUGUUGUAGGUCGGCAGAAGGGCGAGUCUAACAGCUCGCUCGGAAGCCUUCCUAUGUUUUACUACAAACGCUUCAGUUUAAGAAUGUAAACCUGCGUAUAACGCAUCUAUAUACAACUUUCAGCAACGGAUCUCUUGGCUCUCGCAUCGAUGAAGAACGCAGCGAAAUGCGAUAAGUAAUGUGAAUUGCAGAAUUCAGUGAAUCAUCGAAUCUUUGAACGCACCUUGCGCUCCCUGGUAUUCCGGGGAGCAUGCCUGUUUGAGUGUCAUGGUAUUCUCAUCCUUCAUAACUUUUGUUAUCGAAGGCAUGGACUUGGAGGUCGUGCUGGUUCCUCGUUGAAUCAGCUCCUCUUAAAUGUAUUAGCGUGAGUGUAACGGAUCGCUUCGGUGUGAUAAUUAUCUGCGCCGUGGUCGUGAAGUAACAUAAGCUUGCGCUUCUAACCGUCCUUAAGCUGGACAACUUACUUUGACAUCUGACCUCAAAUCAGGUAGGACUACCCGCUGAACUUAAGCAUAUCAA